Molecule: ribosomal RNA, 329 nt
Filed under: uncultured eukaryote
Lineage: Eukaryota
Description: partial 18S ribosomal RNA
Rfam family: Eukaryotic small subunit ribosomal RNA
Source: RNAcentral
CCCUUAGAUGUUCUGGGCCGCACGCGCGCUACACUGACGAUGGCCACGAGUUUUUCCUUCGCCGAAAGGUGUGGGUAAUCUUUUGAAACAUCGUCGUGCUGGGGAUAGAUCAUUGCAAUUUUUGAUCUUGAACGAGGAAUUCCUAGUAAGCGCGAGUCAUCAGCUCGCGUUGAUUACGUCCCUGCCCUUUGUACACACCGCCCGUCGCUACUACCGAUUGAAUGGUUUAGUGAGGACUCCUGAUUGGCGCCGCCGCCCCGGCAACGGAGCAGCGGACUGCCGAAAAGUUGUUCAAACUUGAUCAUUUAGAGGAAGUAAAAGUCGUAACA